UUAGAUUUAUGAUAUUUGGGCCCGGUUAUGAAAUUGGUCCACAGUGAGAUCUAAAGGGUCCAAAAUUGAACUUUAUUUAAUUUCAUCAAAAAUUGAAUUAUUGGGGUUCUUUGUUAUGCUGAGUCUAACCAUAGAUUUAUAUUUUGGAUAUUGGAAUACUACAAAGGGAAGGAAAGAAUUGUCUUUGGGAGUUAUGGCUCAAACCGUUAAGGAAUAAGGUGC
RNAcentral lists this long non-coding RNA (222 nucleotides) under Mytilus galloprovincialis (Mediterranean mussel). The record is from RNAcentral. Lineage: Eukaryota; Metazoa; Mollusca; Bivalvia; Mytilida; Mytilidae.